GUUGUCAUGUUUCUGUCUUGUUGAUGUAUGUCGUAUGCUGAUGUAUUAUUGUUAUUUGUGUCGUCAUGUUUUUGUCUUGUUUGAUGUUUGUCGUAUGCUGAAUUAUAUGUUUGUUAUUUGUGUCGUCAUGUUUUUCUGUCUUGUUGAUGUAUGUCGUAUGCUGAUGUAUUUUUGUUAUUUGUGUCGUCAUGUUUCUGUCUUGUUGAUGUAUGUCGUAUGCUGAUGUAUUUUUGUUAUUU
Molecule: long non-coding RNA, 239 nt
Filed under: Mytilus galloprovincialis (Mediterranean mussel)
Lineage: Eukaryota; Metazoa; Mollusca; Bivalvia; Mytilida; Mytilidae
Source: RNAcentral